Long non-coding RNA from Lycium barbarum (goji berry), 1419 nucleotides. RefSeq lists it as uncharacterized. NCBI's taxonomy places the organism in Eukaryota, Viridiplantae, Streptophyta, Magnoliopsida, Solanales, Solanaceae. The transcript is spliced from 2 exons. The record is from RefSeq and is a predicted model, not a curated record.
UGUCGUAGAGUGGAGAAGAGAAUAAAAAUCAUCGAUACAUGUAUAUGUGUAGUGUAGCCGUGUAUAUAGCCUCCAAAUGGUAGCAAAGAAUGAAUUAAUAUCGCUUAGCGUCGUAAUGGUUGUUGUGAUGAUUUGUAUGUUGGAAAUGAGAGUUAAAUGUCCCGAAUUGAUAUAGUAAGCGUUGCGGACUGAUUUGGAGAACUUUGUGCAUUUAAUGCAAUCCUUAUAUAUGAGAACCAUUAACAUAUGAAUAUGUGUAGUGUGAAUGAAUGUGAGUCAUAGAUUAUGCCGAAUAUCGCAUUAUUAUCGCUUAAGCGCUUUCGUGUCGUCGUUACGAAUUUUAGUUUGGAAUUGAGCAUUUAAUGACUUAAGAUUGAUGUUGAGAUUGUACGGGCUGAUUUGAGGGUUAUUGUGCGUUGAUGUAAUUUGUAUAUUUUAUGAAAAUGGUAUCGUUAUAUUGUGAAUUGUGAUACAAAACAUGAAUUGAAAGUCGGAAGUGUGCCCAGUGGGCUGCUCACGGGUAGGGGCUGUUUUCGGCCAAAAAUUUGGAGAAAUUGUGGAUUGUUGGAAAAAUUAUGUGAAUUGUUUAGAAUGUUCUUGAAUGUUGUUAGUAUGGGUUUGGGUUAAUAAUCGAAUGUACGAACGAUAUUGUGGCUUGAAAGUAAGCCAUUGAAUUGAAUAAUUGGAAAGUUGUCGAAUGGUGUAAAAGAGAGCUACUAUUAUUAUUUUGCCUUUCGAAUUGAUUAUCGAUGUUGCUAGGUUGGUUAUUGUGGUUGUUGUUGUUGAUUUUGAGCGAGUUAAAUUCUCGGGAUGACCUAUUUAUAGGGGAAAUGCUGCCGAAUUUUCUGUAGAAUUUAAUGUUAGUUGGAAUAAAUGGCUUAAGUGCCUAUGUUUAAUAUUGGAUAUUCGUUGGCAUAUUUGUAGACCUUGGGGAGCCCGAGGCGUAGAUUGGAAUUUACUUUAUAUUGGCCAUCUUGGAGUGCGUACGAGGUACAGACGCACAGUUUGGUGAUCUACCCAUUUAGGACACCCUCUUCUGCUGUUUGGAGUGCUCUUCUCAUUUCAGAGCACACAUUUUGGUAUAUAUUCGUUCGCCAUGUAUAUAUGUAUUUGUUCAGGGGCACGGCGGGGCCCUGUCCCGCCAUAUGAUUCGGUUUGUCUGUUUAGAGGUCUGUAGACGUAUUUGUGGGUGUGUUUGCCUACUUCUGUACGGAUGUGUUUUCAUGACUCUAUUCGUUAUGGCAGCCUCGUCGGCGUGCAUUUUGUAUAUGUUUGUGGCAGCCUUGUCGGCGUGCAUUUGUAUAUGCGUUUUGGGCCGUUGUGCCAUUUGACAGCCUUGUCGGCUUUUGACAUAUUUGAUAGCCUUGCCGGCUUUUUGAUAUAUGUGCAUAUGUUCGGCGAUGUAUAUUCCGCCGCCUC